GAUGAACGCUGGCGGCGUGCCUAAUACAUGCAAGUCGAGCGAACAGACGAGGAGCUUGCUCCUCUGACGUUAGCGGCGGACGGGUGAGUAACACGUGGAUAACCUACCUAUAAGACUGGGAUAACUUCGGGAAACCGGAGCUAAUACCGGAUAAUAUAUUGAACCGCAUGGUUCAAUAGUGAAAGAAGGUUUUGCUGUCACUUAUAGAUGGAUCCGCGCCGCAUUAGCUAGUUGGUAAGGUAACGGCUUACCAAGGCGACGAUGCGUAGCCGACCUGAGAGGGUGAUCGGCCACACUGGAACUGAGACACGGUCCAGACUCCUACGGGAGGCAGCAGUAGGGAAUCUUCCGCAAUGGGCGAAAGCUUGACGGAGCAACGCCGCGUGAGUGAUGAAGGUCUUCGGAUCGUAAAACUCUGUUAUUAGGGAAGAACAAAUGUGUAAGUAACUAUGCACGUCUUGACGGUACCUAAUCAGAAAGCCACGGCUAACUACGUG
RNAcentral lists this ribosomal RNA (497 nucleotides) under uncultured bacterium. Its description in RNAcentral is "partial 16S ribosomal RNA". It matches the Rfam family "Bacterial small subunit ribosomal RNA", at positions 28 to 507 of the family's 1533-position model. The record is from RNAcentral.